RNAcentral lists this ribosomal RNA (253 nucleotides) under uncultured bacterium. RNAcentral describes it as "partial 16S ribosomal RNA". It matches the Rfam family "Bacterial small subunit ribosomal RNA", at positions 524 to 776 of the family's 1533-position model. The record is from RNAcentral.
UACGGGGGGGGCAAGCGUUGUUCGGAAUUACUGGGCGUAAAGGGCUCGUAGGCGGCCAACUAAGUCAGACGUGAAAUCCCUCGGCUUAACCGGGGAACUGCGUCUGAUACUGGAUGGCUCGAGUUUGGGAGAGGUGAGUGGAACUGCGAGUGUAGAGGUGAAAUUCGUAGAUAUUCGCAAGAACACCAGUGGCGAAGGCGGCUCACUGGCCCGUUACUGACGCUGAGGCACGAAAGCGUGGGGAGCAAACAGG